ACGCUCGACACCUACGGGGGCAGCAGUGGGGAAUAUUGCACAAUGGGGGAAACCCGUGAUGCAGCGACGCCGCGUGAGCGAAGAAGUAUCUCGGUAUGUAAAGCUCUAUCAGCAGGGAAGAAGAUGACGGUACCUGACUAAGAAGCACCGGCUAAAUACGUGCCGCAGCCGCCGGUAAGUACUGAGCGGGCCGUGGCGAAGGACG
This 205-nucleotide ribosomal RNA is filed under the name uncultured bacterium. RNAcentral's name for it is "partial 16S ribosomal RNA". It matches the Rfam family "Bacterial small subunit ribosomal RNA", at positions 328 to 545 of the family's 1533-position model. The record is from RNAcentral.